Molecule: ribosomal RNA, 525 nt
Filed under: Triticum aestivum (bread wheat)
Lineage: Eukaryota; Viridiplantae; Streptophyta; Magnoliopsida; Poales; Poaceae
Description: partial small subunit ribosomal RNA
Source: RNAcentral
AUGUUUGAAGAAAGCGCCGCUGACAAGGAGACUCCAGAGGUGGAGAAUGGGGCUGCCAACAAGCGGAGGUGGGGCGAGCUAGAACCGCAAUCGACUCCAACAAGCAUAGACUUCAUCAGCAGCCUCCCCGAUGAUAUGUUGACACUCAUCAUCUCCCUCCUCCCAAUCAAAUGUGGGGCGCGAACAACCGUCCUUUCCCGGUGGUGGCACCCCCUAUGGAACUUACCUCUUCUCGACCUCAUCGACACCCACAAGCUCUGCCAUGGCUAUCGCAAAAGCUUGGAUGCGUUCUCCAAGAUCCUCUGCAGUCACCCUAGCCCAACCAAAGGCCUUAGAAUGGGCAAGUUCCAUUCCAACGGCAAGGACCAAGCCAAGAUUGAUGACUGGUUUGGAUCCCCCGCCCUAUAUCAGCUCGAGGAGCUCACUUUUGAUGAUGGGCAUAUGCGCUCGCUGCCAACGUCCGCGCUCCGCCUUGCACCCACGUUGCGCGUCGCCAAGUGCAGGAACUGCCACCCCCGCCCUUAA